CAGCAGCCGCGGUAAUACGAAGGGGGCUAGCGUUGCUCGGAAUUACUGGGCGUAAAGGGAGCGUAGGCGGACAUUUAAGUCAGGGGUGAGAUCCCAGAGCUCAACUCUGGAACUGCCUUUGAUACUGGGUGUCUUGAGUGUGAUAGAGGUAUGUGGAACUCCGAGUGUAGAGGUGAAAUUCGUAGAUAUUCGGAAGAACACCAGUGGCGAAGGCGACAUACUGGAUCAUUACUGACGCUGAGGCUCGAAAGCGUGGGGAGCAAACAGGAUUAGAUACCCUGGUAGUCCACGCCGUAAACGAUGAUUGCUAGUUGUCGGGUUGUUUACAACUCGGUGACGCAGCUAACGCAUUAAGCAAUCCGCCUGGGGAGUACGGUCGCAAGAUUAAAACUCAAAGGAAUUGACGG
RNAcentral lists this ribosomal RNA (407 nucleotides) under uncultured bacterium. RNAcentral's name for it is "bacterial SSU rRNA". It matches the Rfam family "Bacterial small subunit ribosomal RNA", at positions 509 to 916 of the family's 1533-position model. The record is from RNAcentral.